UACGUAGGCAGCGAGCGUUGUUCGGAGUUACUGGGCGUAAAGGGUGUGUAGGCGGUUCUUUAAGUUUGGUGUGAAAUCUCCCGGCUCAACCGGGAGGGUGCGUCGAAUACUGAGGGACUAGAGUACGGGAGAGGAAAGUGGAAUUCCUGGUGUAGCGGUGAAAUGCGUAGAUAUCAGGAGGAACACCGGUGGUGUAGACGGCUUUCUGGACCGUAACUGACGCUGAGGCGCGAAAGCCAGGGGAGCAAACGGG
This 253-nucleotide ribosomal RNA is filed under the name uncultured bacterium. Its description in RNAcentral is "partial 16S ribosomal RNA". It matches the Rfam family "Bacterial small subunit ribosomal RNA", at positions 524 to 776 of the family's 1533-position model. The record is from RNAcentral.